Molecule: ribosomal RNA, 422 nt
Filed under: uncultured bacterium
Lineage: Bacteria
Description: partial 16S ribosomal RNA
Rfam family: Bacterial small subunit ribosomal RNA
Source: RNAcentral
AAUUUUGGACAAUGGGGGAAACCCUGAUCCAGCCAUCCCGCGUGUAUGAUGAAGGCCUUCGGGUUGUAAAGUACUUUUGGCAGAGAAGAAAAGGUAUCUCCUAAUACGAGAUACUGCUGACGGUAUCUGCAGAAUAAGCACCGGCUAACUACGUGCCAGCAGCCGCGGUAAUACGUAGGGUGCAAGCGUUAAUCGGAAUUACUGGGCGUAAAGCGUGGGUGGGCGGUUCGGAAAGAAAAAUGUGAAAUCCCAGGGUUCAACCUUGGAAUUGAAUUUUAAACUGCCGAGCUAGAGUAUGUAAGAGGGGGGUAGAAUCCAAGGGGUAGAAGUGAAAUGCUUAGAUAUGUGAGGAAUACCGAUGGCGAAGGCAGCCCCCUGGGAUAAUACUGACGCUCAGACACGAAAGCGUGGGGAGCAAACAG